This 123-nucleotide small nuclear RNA is filed under the name Cebus imitator (Panamanian white-faced capuchin). RNAcentral describes it as "U2 spliceosomal RNA (ENSCCAG00000013982.1)". The stretch from base 1 to 95 matches the Rfam family "U2 spliceosomal RNA". From Rfam's summary of the family: U2 is a small nuclear RNA (snRNA) component of the spliceosome (involved in pre-mRNA splicing). Lineage: Eukaryota; Metazoa; Chordata; Mammalia; Primates; Cebidae. The record is from RNAcentral.
AUUACUUCUCGGUCUUUUGGCUAUGAUCAAGUAUAGUAUCUCUUCUUAUCAGUUUAAUACCUGGGUGAUGAAAUAAUCUGUACAACAAACCCCCAAAACACAAGUUUGCCUAUGCAUGUCCUU